Molecule: ribosomal RNA, 513 nt
Filed under: Salmonella enterica
Lineage: Bacteria; Pseudomonadati; Pseudomonadota; Gammaproteobacteria; Enterobacterales; Enterobacteriaceae
Description: partial 23S ribosomal RNA
Rfam family: Bacterial large subunit ribosomal RNA
Source: RNAcentral
AGUCAGAGGCGAUGAAGGGCGUGCUAAUCUGCGAUAAGCGCCGGUAAGGUGAUAUGAACCGUUAUAACCGGCGAUACCCGAAUGGGGAAACCCAGUGUGACUCGUCACACUAUCAUUAACUGAAUCCAUAGGUUAAUGAGGCGAACCGGGGGAACUGAAACAUCUAAGUACCCCGAGGAAAAGAAAUCAACCGAGAUUCCCCCAGUAGCGGCGAGCGAACGGGGAGGAGCCCAGAGCCUGAAUCAGCAUGUGUGUUAGUGGAAGCGUCUGGAAAGGCGCGCGAUACAGGGUGACAGCCCCGUACACAAAAGCGCAUGUGCUGUGAGCUCGAUGAGUAGGGCGGGACACGUGGUAUCCUGUCUGAAUAUGGGGGGACCAUCCUCCAAGGCUAAAUACUCCUGACUGACCGAUAGUGAACCAGUACCGUGAGGGAAAGGCGAAAAGAACCCCGGCGAGGGGAGUGAAAAAGAACCUGAAACCGUGUACGUACAAGCAGUGGGAGCACCCUUUGGG